This 468-nucleotide ribosomal RNA is filed under the name uncultured bacterium. RNAcentral's name for it is "partial 16S ribosomal RNA". It matches the Rfam family "Bacterial small subunit ribosomal RNA", at positions 28 to 507 of the family's 1533-position model. The record is from RNAcentral.
GACGAACGCUGGCGGCGUGCUUAACACAUGCAAGUCGAACGGAAAGGCCCUGCUUUUGUUGGUUUCUCGAUUGGCGAACGGGUGAGUAACACGUGAGUAACCUGCCCUUGACUUUGGGAUAACUUCAGGAAACUGGGGCUAAUACCGGAUAUGAGCUCCUGCUGCAUGUUGGGGUUUAGAAAGUUUCGGCGGUUGGGGAUGGACUCGCGGCUUAUCAGCUUGUUGGUGGGGUAGUGGCUUACCACGGCUUUGACGGGUAGCUGGCCUGAGAGGGUGACCGGCGACAUUGGGACUGAGAUACGGCCCAGAAUCCUACGGGAGGCAGCAGUGGGGAAUAUUGCACAAUGGGCGGAAGCCUGAUGCAGCAACGCUGCGUGCGGGAUGACGGCUUUCGGGUUGUAAACCGCUUUCGCCUGAGACGAAGCGUGAGUGACGGUAAUGGGUAAAGAAGCACCGGCUAACUACGUG